GUUGGUUAAAGUCCUUCCCUUACUA
This 25-nucleotide transfer RNA is filed under the name Aplocheilus lineatus (striped panchax). Its description in RNAcentral is "partial tRNA-Met". The record is from RNAcentral. Lineage: Eukaryota; Metazoa; Chordata; Actinopteri; Cyprinodontiformes; Aplocheilidae.